Molecule: long non-coding RNA, 346 nt
Filed under: Nicotiana tabacum (common tobacco)
Lineage: Eukaryota; Viridiplantae; Streptophyta; Magnoliopsida; Solanales; Solanaceae
Description: long non-coding RNA (NTAB_LNC013868)
Source: RNAcentral
AAAGUGUUCCCGCAUUAUACUGGUGGGCGACCUAGAACUUAAAAAUGUAUUCCCGUAUUAUACUGGUGGGCGACCUAGAACUAAAAAGUAUUCCCGCAUUAUACUGGUGGGCGACCUAGAACUUAAAAGUAUUCCCGCAUUAUACUGGUGGGCGACCUAGAACUUAAAAGUAUUCCCGCAUUAUACUGGUGGGCGACCUAGAACUUAAAAGUGUUCCCGCAUUAUACUGGUGGACGACCUAGAACUUAAAUGUAUUCCCGCAUUAUACUGGUGGGUGACCUAGAACUUAAAAGUGUUCCAAUUGUUUCCCCGUUCUUCCGAGAAAAUUUUCGACAAUCGGCAGAAA